ACGGAGGGUGCAAGCGUUGCUCGGAAUUAUUGGGCGUAAAGGGUAGGUAGGUGGUCUUAUUUGUCUGGGGUGAAAGCCUUGAGCUUAACUCAAGAAGUGCCCCAGAAACGGUAAGACUAGAGUCCUAGAGAGGGUCGUGGAAUUCCCGGUGUAGCGGUGAAAUGCGUAGAGAUCGGGAGGAACACCAGAGGCGAAGGCGGCGACCUGGAUAGGUACUGACACUCAACUACGAAAGCGUGGGGAGCAAACAG
RNAcentral lists this ribosomal RNA (251 nucleotides) under uncultured prokaryote. Its description in RNAcentral is "partial 16S rRNA". It matches the Rfam family "Bacterial small subunit ribosomal RNA", at positions 525 to 775 of the family's 1533-position model. The record is from RNAcentral.